CGAAAACCCCGUCUGUAUCGGCUGGAGACUGACCGUACCGAGUCGAGCUCCGCCUCGACAUCUGCGGAUCGGAAUUUGAAACUGUGGUGAACCUGACCGAGUUGCGUCUAGACAUCAUCAACGACCUGGGAGCGGUGCUGCUGCUGGUCCUGUUGAGGACGGGGAGAUCGGAGGCAGGUACGUGGACGGUGGAAGUCCACGCCGCUCCGGCUCGACGGAGCCGCAGCCGCCCCCGGGACACNNNNN
This 246-nucleotide long non-coding RNA is filed under the name Linum usitatissimum (flax). RNAcentral's name for it is "long non-coding RNA (LUSI_LNC007781)". The record is from RNAcentral. Lineage: Eukaryota; Viridiplantae; Streptophyta; Magnoliopsida; Malpighiales; Linaceae.